This 468-nucleotide ribosomal RNA is filed under the name uncultured bacterium. RNAcentral describes it as "partial 16S ribosomal RNA". It matches the Rfam family "Bacterial small subunit ribosomal RNA", at positions 28 to 507 of the family's 1533-position model. The record is from RNAcentral.
GACGAACGCUGGCGGCGUGCUUAACACAUGCAAGUCGAACGGAAAGGCCCUGCUUUUGUGGGGUGCUCGAGUGGCGAACGGGUGAGUAACACGUGAGUAACCUGCCCUUGACUUUGGGAUAACUUCAGGAAACUGGGGCUAAUACCGGAUAGGAGCUCCUGCUGCAUGGUGGGGGUUGGAAAGUUUCGGCGGUUGGGGAUGGACUCGCGGCUUAUCAGCUUGUUGGUGGGGUAGUGGCUUACCAAGGCUUUGACGGGUAGCCGGCCUGAGAGGGUGACCGGCCACAAUGGGACUGCGAUACGGACCAGACUCCUACGGGAGGCAGAGGUGGGGAAUAUUGCACAAUGGGCGCAAGCCUGAUGCAGCAACGCCGCGUGCGGGAUGACGGCCUUCGGGGUAUAAACCGCUUUCGCCUGUGACGAAGCGUGAGUGACGGUAAUGGGUAAAGAAGCACCGGCUAACUACGUG